GACGAACGCUGGCGGCGUGCCUAAUACAUGCAAGUAGAACGCUGAAGGAGGAGCUUGCUUCUCUGGAUGAGUUGCGAACGGGUGAGUAACGCGUAGGUAACCUGCCUGGUAGCGGGGGAUAACUAUUGGAAACGAUAGCUAAUACCGCAUAAGAGUAGAUGUUGCAUGACAUUUGCUUAAAAGGUGCAAUUGCAUCACUACCAGAUGGACCUGCGUUGUAUUAGCUAGUUGGUGGGGUAACGGCUCACCAAGGCGACGAUACAUAGCCGACCUGAGAGGGUGAUCGGCCACACUGGGACUGAGACACGGCCCAGACUCCUACGGGAGGCAGCAGUAGGGAAUCUUCGGCAAUGGACGGAAGUCUGAACGAGCAACGCCGCGUGAGGGAAGAAGGUUUUCGGAUCGUAAAGCGCUGUUGUAAGAGAAGAACGAGUGUGAGAGUGGAAAGUUCACACUGUGACGGUAUCUUACCAGAAAGGGACGGCUAACUACGUG
RNAcentral lists this ribosomal RNA (495 nucleotides) under uncultured bacterium. RNAcentral describes it as "partial 16S ribosomal RNA". It matches the Rfam family "Bacterial small subunit ribosomal RNA", at positions 28 to 507 of the family's 1533-position model. The record is from RNAcentral.